Molecule: ribosomal RNA, 489 nt
Filed under: Salmonella enterica subsp. enterica serovar Havana
Lineage: Bacteria; Pseudomonadati; Pseudomonadota; Gammaproteobacteria; Enterobacterales; Enterobacteriaceae
Description: bacterial SSU rRNA
Rfam family: Bacterial small subunit ribosomal RNA
Source: RNAcentral
GAUUGAACGCUGGCGGCAGGCCUAACACAUGCAAGUCGAACGGUAACAGGAAGCAGCUUGCUGCUUYGCUGACGAGUGGCGGACGGGUGAGUAAUGUCUGGGAAACUGCCUGAUGGAGGGGGAUAACUACUGGAAACGGUGGCUAAUACCGCAUAACGUCGCAAGACCAAAGAGGGGGACCUUCGGGCCUCUUGCCAUCAGAUGUGCCCAGAUGGGAUUAGCUDGUUGGUGAGGUAACGGCUCACCAAGGCGACGAUCCCUAGCUGGUCUGAGAGGAUGACCAGCCACACUGGAACUGAGACACGGUCCAGACUCCUACGGGAGGCAGCAGUGGGGAAUAUUGCACAAUGGGCGCAAGCCUGAUGCAGCCAUGCCGCGUGUAUGAAGAAGGCCUUCGGGUUGUAAAGUACUUUCAGCGGGGAGGAAGGUGUUGYGGUUAAUAACCGCAGCAAUUGACGUUACCCGCAGAAGAAGCACCGGCUAACUCCG